RNAcentral lists this ribosomal RNA (497 nucleotides) under uncultured bacterium. RNAcentral's name for it is "partial 16S ribosomal RNA". It matches the Rfam family "Bacterial small subunit ribosomal RNA", at positions 28 to 507 of the family's 1533-position model. The record is from RNAcentral.
GAUGAACGCUGGCGGCGUGCCUAAUACAUGCAAGUCGAGCGAACAGACGAGGAGCUUACUCCUCUGACGUUAGCGGCGGACGGGUGAGUAACACGUGGAUAACCUACCUAUAAGACUGGGAUAACUUCGGGAAACCGGAGCUAAUACCGGAUAAUAUAUUGAACCGCAUGGUUCAAUAGUGAAAGACGGUUUUGCUGUCACUUAUAGAUGGAUCCGCGCCGCAUUAGCUAGUUGGUAAGGUAACGGCUUACCAAGGCAACGAUGCGUAGCCGACCUGAGAGGGUGAUCGGCCACACUGGAACUGAGACACGGUCCAGACUCCUACGGGAGGCAGCAGUAGGGAAUCUUCCGCAAUGGGCGAAAGCUUGACGGAGCAACGCCGCGUGAGUGAAGAAGGUCUUCGGAUCGUAAAACUCUGUUAUUAGGGAAGAACAAAUGUGUAAGUAACUAUGCACGUCUUGACGGUACCUAAUCAGAAAGCCACGGCUAACUACGUG